This 522-nucleotide ribosomal RNA is filed under the name uncultured bacterium. RNAcentral's name for it is "bacterial SSU rRNA". It matches the Rfam family "Bacterial small subunit ribosomal RNA", at positions 26 to 518 of the family's 1533-position model. The record is from RNAcentral.
CGAGGACGAACGCUGGCGGCGUGCCUAAUACAUGCAAGUCGAACGGUCUUUCUAUGGAAGCUUGCUUCCACUGAGAAGAUAGUGGCGAACGGGUGAGUAACACGUGGGUAAUCUGCCCAUAAGAGGGGGGAUAACAUCCGGAAACGGGUGCUAAUACCGCAUAGUUUUCUUGAUCGCAUGAUCGGGAAAGGAAAGACGGCCUUUGUGCUGUCGCUUAUGGAUGGACCCGCGGCGUAUUAGUUAGUUGGUGAGGUAACGGCUCACCAAGACGAUGAUACGUAGCCGACCUGAGAGGGUGAUCGGCCACAUUGGGACUGAGACACGGCCCAAACUCCUACGGGAGGCAGCAGUAGGGAAUCUUCCGCAAUGGACGAAAGUCUGACGGAGCAACGCCGCGUGAGUGAAAGAAGGUUUUCGGAUCGUAAAACUCUGUUGUCAGAGAAGAACAAGUUGGAGAGUAACUGCUCCAGCCUUGACGGUAUCUGACCAGAAAGCCACGGCUAACUACGUGCCAGCCGCGGC